This 1160-nucleotide long non-coding RNA is filed under the name Brassica napus (rape). Its description in RNAcentral is "long non-coding RNA (BNAP_LNC002055)". The record is from RNAcentral. Lineage: Eukaryota; Viridiplantae; Streptophyta; Magnoliopsida; Brassicales; Brassicaceae.
CAGAAUUAUUCAUCAAUAGGUUGUAUUUUUAAAUAAUUUUCUCAAAAACUGCUAUUUUUGGAAAGUUUUCAUUUUUUAGAGAAAUAUUGUAGAUUUGGGUUUGUGGUUUAGAAAUUAAGACAACAAGAAUAUUUGUGGAUAUUUGAGUAUUCUUUCAGAAUUAUUCAUCAAUAGGUUGUAUUUUUAAAUAAUUUUCUCAAAAACUGCUAUUUUUGGAAAGUUUUCAUUUUUUAGAGAAAUAUUGUAGAUUUGGGUUUGUGGUUUAGAAAUUAAGAUAACAAAAAUAUUUGUGGAUAUUUGAGUAUUCUUUCAGAAUUAUUCAUCAAUAGGUUGUAUUUUUAAAUAAUUUUCUCAAAACCUGCUAUUUUUAGAAAGUUUUCAUUUUUUAGAGAAAUAUUGUAGAUUUGGGUUUGUGGUUUAGAAAUUAAGAUAACAAGAAUAUUUGUGAAUAUUUGAGUAUUUUUUCAGAAUUAUUCAUCAAUAGGUUGUAUUUUUAAAUAAUUUUCUCAAAAAACUGCUAUUUUUGGAAAGUUUUAAUUUUUUAGAGAAAUAUUGUAGAUUUGAGUUUGUGGUUCAUAAAUUAACAUAACAAGAAUAUUUGUGGAUAUUUGAGUAUUCUUUCAGAAUUAUUCAUCAAUCGGUUGUAUUUUAAAUAAUUUUCUCAAAACCUGCUAUUUUUGGAAAGUUUUCAUUUUUUAGAGAAAUAUUGUAGAUUUGGGUUUGUGGUUCAGAAAUUAACAUAAAAAGAAGAUUUGUGAAUAUGUGAGUAUUCUUUCAGAAUUAUUCAUCAAUCGGUUGUAUUUUAAAUAAUUUUCUCAAAACCUGCUAUUUUUAGAAAGUUUUCAUUUUUUAGAGAAAUAUUAUAGAUUUGGGUUUUUGGUUUAGAAAUUAAGAUAACAAGAAUAUUUGUGGAUAUUUGAGUAUUCUUUCAGAAUUAUUCAUCAAUAGAUUGUAUUUUUAAAUAAUUUUUUCAAAAACUGCUAUUUUUAGAAAGUUCUCAUUUUUUAGAGAAAUAUUGUAGAUUUGGGUUUGUGGUUUAGAAAUUAAGACAACAAGAAUAUUUGUGGAUAUUUGAGUAUUCUUUCAGAAUUAUUCAUUAAUAGGUUGUAUUUUUAAAUAAUUUUCUCAAAACCUGCUAUUUUUAGAAAGUUUUCAAUUUU